GGAAGAGUGGCAGAGUGGCCGAUUGCACCUGUCUUGAAAACAGGAGACCUUCACGGGUCCGUGGGUUCGAAUCCUACCUCUUCCG
RNAcentral lists this transfer RNA (85 nucleotides) under Chlamydiae bacterium CG10_big_fil_rev_8_21_14_0_10_42_34. RNAcentral's name for it is "tRNA-Ser". It matches the Rfam family "tRNA". From Rfam's summary of the family: Transfer RNA (tRNA) molecules are approximately 80 nucleotides in length. The record is from RNAcentral. Lineage: Bacteria; Pseudomonadati; Chlamydiota.